RNAcentral lists this ribosomal RNA (253 nucleotides) under uncultured bacterium. RNAcentral describes it as "partial 16S ribosomal RNA". It matches the Rfam family "Bacterial small subunit ribosomal RNA", at positions 524 to 776 of the family's 1533-position model. The record is from RNAcentral.
GACGUAGGGCGCAAGCGUUGUCCGGAUUUAUUGGGCGUAAAGAGCUCGUAGGCGGCUUGCCACGUCUGCCGUGAAAACCCACAGCUCAACUGUGGGCUUGCGGUCGAUACGGGCAGGCUAGAGUUCGGUAGGGGAGACUGGAAUUCCUGGUGUAGCGGUGAAAUGCGCAGAUAUCAGGAGGAACACCGGUGGCGAAGGCGGGUCUCUGGGCCGAUACUGACGCUGAGGAGCGAAAGCGUGGGGAGCGAACAGG